RNAcentral lists this ribosomal RNA (584 nucleotides) under uncultured bacterium. RNAcentral describes it as "bacterial SSU rRNA". It matches the Rfam family "Bacterial small subunit ribosomal RNA", at positions 102 to 682 of the family's 1533-position model. The record is from RNAcentral.
ACGGGUGAGUAAUAUAUCGGAACGUGCCCUGGAGUGGGGGAUAACGUAGCGAAAGUUACGCUAAUACCGCAUACGAUCUACGGAUGAAAGUGGGGGACCGCAAGGCCUCAUGCUCGUGGAGCGGCCGAUAUCUGAUUAGCUAGUUGGUAGGGUAAAAGCCUACCAAGGCAUCGAUCAGUAGCUGGUCUGAGAGGACGACCAGCCACACUGGGACUGAGACACGGCCCAGACUCCUACGGGAGGCAGCAGUGGGGAAUUUUGGACAAUGGGGGCAACCCUGAUCCAGCAGUGCCGCGUGAGUGAAGAAGGCCUUCGGGUCGUAAAGCUCUUUUGUCAGGGAAGAAACGGCGGGCUCUAAUACGGCUUGCUAAUGACGGUACCUGAAGAAUAAGCACCGGCUAACUACGUGCCAGCAGCCGCGGUAAUACGUAGGGUGCGAGCGUUAAUCGGAAUUACUGGGCGUAAAGCGUGCGCAGGCGGUUGUGCAAGACAGAUGUGAAAUCCCCGGGCUUAACCUGGGAAUUGCAUUUGUGACUGCACGGCUAGAGUGUGUCAGAAGGGGGUAGAAUUCCACGUGUAGCAGU